UGAUUGACUGCUUUUCUCUGGGGGCGCAACGAGGAGAGAGUGUUUCUGAUUCAGUUUUCCAGAAGAGUUGUAAGAGGCAGUGGGAUGGAAAGGGCCAAGGAAUGAGUGAAUUAGAGGAGUCCGUCUUCUACUAAAGCAGUGGAGGAGGAGAUGAUGGGUCAGCCCUUCCUGGGUGAGGAUGGAGCAUUCCAGCUGCAGUUGCUUGUUGUCAGCAUGACAUGCUCCUUAAGAGAUUUUUCUAUUUACUCUGAAUAUAAACUCUGAAGUUUAUAAAAUGACCCCUUUAGGGUUCAGGAGGUUGGAUUUCAAAGCAAUGUAUAUAGGGGAGGCCUUUUCCAACUGCUCAGGCUAGAUGGUAGAGAUCACUCUCCCAGGAGACAAUCGGUAAUGUCUAUCAUAUUGUGGCAGAUGGCAGCAAGCCCUAGGUUAGGAACCCAACUACGAUGUAUUAGCAAGAGAUACUGGCCACGUGUCCUUCGAUCAGAUUAAUCAGGGACGGAACUACCGCAUAAACAGGUGAGAUUAGCAUUGGCUGAGAGGCUGGCAAGGCAAACCUGGGACAUACUCGACUUUGAAUUCAGAAGCACUGCUUAUUUGCAUUCAUUUUCAGAAUUAUAUCUGCAGCACAAAAGGAGCUCCCAGAAGACUGGAUGGGCUUCACAAUGAAUAUGAUGCUUGUGAGCAUGCGGUUUGCUCAGGCUAGGAUGAUUCUGUAACUCCUUGAGUGCACGCCAGUGUACAGCAAGACAGAGACACUGUGGCUUUUUACUUGAUCGCCAGGAUCCUGGUUGUGUUCUGGAGGGUUGAAAUUGCCAGAAAUCUAGCUACCUCUUAAAAAGGAUGUUAUAUUUUUUGAAACCUCUAGCAAGUAUUCUCAGUAUGGCUACUGUAAAAGGUCCAAAUAUACACAGGCUGAAACAUAUGCAAAUAUAUUUAUUGACCUUCUAGUUGGAGGACACUGGUCCAAGGCUGCCGCACUCAUUCACGUUGUGGUGGCUUCUUCAUCUGAUAUCACAGAUUUAUCACUGAUCCCUCGAGAAAUAAAGGGCACCUCCCACCUCCCUUCUCACACCUGUGGAUCUUGAGAUGUUUUGUCAGUUCCUUCUCUUACCAUGGCCUAACCUCAAACUACUUAUGGUUGAUGCUAUACAUGGCAACAUACAAAAGAAUAAACAUUGUGUGUAGGAGGCCAUCUUUCUGGAAGAUUCCUUUAUUCAAGGACACUCGUUUUUCUAAAUGUUUAGAAAUCAUUUCCUAAAUUCUAACAAUGCGCCCUGAGUGAGGGUAGUUCAGGAAGUGGAGGCCAUAACCGUAUGUUGCCUUCCAGCUCCCACCUUCCUUCUUCCCUCCCACCACCAUCCUGGGCUUCUUGCAUGUAAACUCGCUCUGCUUGGAGUUGGAUGCGGCACAGCACUAAUUCCCUGGAAGAUGUGCUCUGGGCCUCUGGGAACACAUACUCUAUGACAGAUGGCGGCAAACUAAACCAGCAAUUGAAAAAGGACCUCUGUUAGAGGAGCCAUUCCAGAGGGGGAGAGGCAGGGAAGACAAAUCGCUGGAAAGUGGCCAGAACCAUUUGGUGCUCGACAUCAAUCUGAUCAAUAAACACUUCCUGAACACCUAGAUAGAAGAACCUAUUCCAGAUUCCAUAGGCACACACAAAGAUCAGAGAGGCCAACAUUCUGUCCUGUGUUUAGGAAGACGGACAGCACACGGAGAGGUGCAUGGACAAUUCUAGGCUGGCAGAAGUCUGAAGAAAGGCUUAUGUAAGGUUGAGCUGAAAAUUAUAGCCACCACACAAUAAUAUGAUAAUGCAUGUUGAUGGCUAUGUCCUGGAUGAUAUGCAGACAGUGGGAGAAACAAAAUUCUGGGGUUUUGGAAGGGAUACCGGGCAGUGCCCUCAAUUUAAAGAUGAGGAAACUGAAGCCCCUUCUCCACGACUUGAAGUGGUUUCUUCAAGAUCAAGGUCACUCAGUUGUUGGGAACCCUAUGAUUAACAGUACUACGACUAGGAGUACCAAUAAUAGUACUAGUGAUAGUACUAACUGCUGUUAUUGGCUAAGAUUAUAGAGCACUUAUGUGUGCCAGCCACUAUCCUAAGUGCUUUAAGUGUAUUAACUAAUUUAAUACAGCAGGUUAUGUUAUUUUCACCCCUGAAAUGGUAUUCUCACACAUGGGAAAACUGAGGCAGAAGAGUACCAGUACCUUGCCCAAAGUUCAGCCAGUAAGUGGUAGAACUGAGAUGCACAUGCCACAGUUGGGCUCCAGAGCUUGUGCUCUUAAUUUCUCAUGGCCCCUCAGGCCUCUGACUCCUGGUCCAGUGCUCCUUGUCCUUGGACUGGGCAUUGUCAGUGAGGUGAGGUGGCACUGAAUGAGGGAGUGACAUGACAAAAGUGAUAUUUAAGAUUACUGGUAUGGCUUCAGUAGUCUACAGUCUACAUACUGUAGACUAGAGAAGAAAUGGAGAAGGAACAGCAGAGAGAGGAGUGUCUAAAUAUACUUGUGAUGAGUGUUUGGACCACGGCAGGAAUAGAGAAGAUUACACUGGACAGGAAUGGUUGGUUAGCAGUCAUUCACUCUGUAGUAUGAAUCAGUCUGUCCUGUUGCUUAUCCUUCUAGAAAUCAGAACUCUAUGACUGUAGAAGGAAGGAGUGGAGAGAGGGUACAGCAAAGGGAAAGGGCAAAGGAACAAGAGCAGAAAUGGGACAGAUACUCAUGACUUCCCCAUAUUCCUCACAGAGGUCCUGAUCUUUGGGGGGUGGUUCAGCGUACUUUAGGUAAAUGUCCAUUGCUCAUUAAAUGAGGUAAAGAAGGAAGAGAACAAAAAACAAAACAGAGAACAAGAAAGAUGCCAUCUCUUAGUGGGAAGGAGACCUUAGCUAGUGGGUAAAGAUCACAUUAAGAGCCCAGCAUGGUUUUGCAGAUUGGAGUCUCGCUCAGGGAAAGACCCAUCUCACUGUCCUGGCAGACAGCCUUCAGCUGUGGAGAGCCUCCUUGUCCAAGGUCCUGGCCUUCCCCACGUGCCCCACAUCCAAUGACUGGCUGAUGCAAGGGCAUAAAGGCCAGGACAGAGGUUCAGCAAAGGGGGCCACGGUAGGCCGGGGAGAGGACCCCACAAAGGAUCACUGGCUGUGCGAAUAUGUUCAUGGAAUGAGGUGUGACUAGAUUUCUCAAGAUAAAACUCUCAUCAGUGAGUUUCUUUGAUAAAGAGAAGCAAGAACUGUACUUUGAGAGGAAGAGAACAGACAGUGAAUAGCUGUUUGAAUUCAUGGUAAACUGGACAGAGGAGGCCAGAAGACAGAGACUCUUCUGGAUGCUUCUGAUUGGUUCUAAGAAUAACUGCCUGCGUGUGGAGUCCAGCAUUUAAGGGGCUCAGCCCAUAUUUGAAUGCAGAGCUCUCCUUCCGUCUCAGAGUAGCAUUUCCAUUGGCAUGCUGCUGCAUAGGCUCAAAUGCAGGACGUGAGCAGUUUCCCAACUAUCCACCAGAUGGUACCUUCCUACCAGAAAUUAGGUUUCAGGUUGUGGAACUCCACAGUGUUUUUCUACCCCGCAGACCGGCUGCAGAAUCAGACUCCUGCCCUGGCUACUGUGAAAGGAAAGGAAGCUGAUGAGAACACGUCUCAGGGUGGGAGCGCUGAAGGGCCGGGUGGGGGCGACUACAGUGUUUUUAUUUUCACGAAUAUGGGACUGAAGCCGAAGCGUCCUUUUUGUGAUGGGGAGAGCCACGUGCAGAUAUGUGGAAUCGAGUCCUAGAGAAGUCUCCCAGGGAAGACAGGACUGUGAGUUCAGCUCCCGAUAGGCCUGGUCGUAAAAGUCCUCGGUGCCGCCUUGGUGGUGGUCCUGCAGAGUCGGCUCCGCGCUGCUGAGUGCUCUGAAAUGUAGCCAGUUGUCCCAUAAAAGAAAGCCUCUGUUGGAGACGCUUGCUCAUUGUUGAACAGUUUGGGUUCUGAGGCCUGAGCAGCAGCCUCCCCGGGGUGCUUAGUGUCCUUGGAAUGGGAAGGCAACUGGUCUUUACUGCAGGGUGACAACCGUGUCCAGGUUUGUCUGGUACUUUGCUCCUCCUGGCACCGGGGUGGUUGGUCAUCCUGCCUGCCUGGAACAGUACACACCAGGGACUGGGCUAGACCUUCACACACACGCAGUGAGCUGGGGGAUUUGGGGCGGCGCAAUAAUAUUUUCAAAUUAUGAAUCAUUUCGUCGCUGUUGUUUUCCUACCAGAUUCCUGUGUCCCCUUUCGCCAGCGAGACUUAACGUCAGGGAAGGCAACAUUCUGGAGGAAAGGGGUCUUCUCUUGGUUUCUGAGUUUCAGAAGUUUAGGCCGUAGCUGAUAGAUUUGGGAGAAGAUGUGGUAAAUAAAUGCAAUUUCCUCAGGUUGGGGAGAGAGGAGAGAGUGGCUGGGGUGAUGAGAGAUCAGGCCUCUGAGCAGGGAGACACGUUGACUCUCAUCUGCUUUCUGCCAACUGCCCUGGCAAGGAUGGGUAUGUGCGCUCUCAGGGUGAGGGCCCUGAGCCCCCUUGGCUGGGGGUGGGGAGCAGAGGAGGGGUGUACAGACCUCAGAGAGGAGAGGAUUGUGUUCUCACCCUGGAGCAAAGGGCCAGAGAGCUCCCGGGGCCUCGGAGAGGCGCAGAGACAGCAGGGGAAAUCUGUAGUCUUGCAGGUACCUCUCAGAGAGUGGACUGCAGCAUAGUGCCCCUCCAGACUUGUGUCCACCUGGGGCUUCACCACACGGCCGGAUUUGGUAAAGAUAUCGUCAAGUUAAGAUGACGUCAUCCUGGAUUCGGGUGGGCCCUGAUGCGAUGCUUUAAUGUCCUUAUAAGAAAAGGGAAAUGUGGACCCAGAGCUGCACACACAGAGGGAAGGUGCCCUGUGAAGAUGGUAGCGGGGCCUAGGAACGCCCAGGACUGCCAGGAGUGACAAAGAGGCCAGGAAGGAUCCUGUCCCAGAGCCUUUGGAAGGAGCCCGGCCCUGCUGACACCUCGAUUUCAGACUUCCAGCCUCCACAACUGUGGGAGGAUAAAUGCCUGAAGUCCCCUGAACUGGCCACACACAUCUGCAUUCUGGAAUCAGAGAUAAGACAUGAGAGGCAAGAUUUCUGGAAGGGAAAGGGAGCGAUUUACAUUCUCACCGAGGUCUGAGUGGCUGCUAGCAGAUUCUUUCCCAAGAACAGGUUUCAACUUGGAGGAGGAGGUUGGGCAGGGAGAGAGCAGGGGUACCCUGAGCUGGCUCGCUGGCCAGGGUAGGGGUGAGCAGGAAAAAAGGAGCAAUGGGUGGCAGAAACAGGGCCUGAGGACCCAAAGGUGAAGUUCAUCUACUUCCUUUUUUUUUUUUUUUGUUAUGGGCCCUGUCUGAUUCUGACAUUCAACACUAAGGAAUCUCCCAACUGUUGAUUUCACAAACCUAAAAAACCAUUUACUGAAAGCAUUCUGGAACACCGGAAAGGUUGCCACUAUUAUUUGGUUAAAUAAGGAUGUAAAAAAUAAACAAAACAAAAACCCUAUCACAUAAAAGAAAGGAUGUUUUAACGGUAAAAAAUUGGGAAAGAAAAUCUCAGAAUAAAGGACAGUCCUUUUAAAUUGGAUGAAUAUAGCUUUAAAGGAAUAGAAAAAAUGACUAUCUCCCUCUUCUGUGGGUCCAGGAAAAUGUUGGCAGAGACCAGUAUCCCAGUAACCAACUGGUUUAUAAGAAUCACAUCCACCCUGAUUCUGAAGGCCCCACCAGUUUAUAGUUCAUGACACUAUGCUGCCCCCUGGUGGCCAAAAGGAGUUGCUGUAGCGGCUAAAGCGGGGCGGGGGUCUCAAAAUACACUUAGGGCCUCCUCCCAGCAAUUACUUGUAUGUUCAUUUAACACCCACCAUGUGCCAAGCGGGGGCCAUGUGGGGUGAGGACACAUGGAAAUGAGAGAACCAGGCCCUCGCUCUCAAGGAGCUUUCCUGUAACACUGAUGUGCCAAACAAAAGUUGACAACAAUGUUUGGCUUUGGAUGUUGAAAUGUCGGCUCCCCAGCACCAUCCCCCUGCUUGCCAGAGGCUGCAUCAUGGAACCCAGUCAGCCCCUCAGCGUCAGAGCAGGCCUGUCACUAGGGUCCAGGUGGCCACCUAGAGCUUUAUCUCCAGCCCUGCCCCGAAGCCAGGGCCCGCAUGCGCUGAUGAAGCUGGAAGGUGGCGGGUCCCCCACAGGGCGUUUCUGCUCUCAGCUAGCUCUUCAGCAGUCUCACUCCUACCUAUUAGGCCACCCCUGGGGCAGGCAAGCCUACAUUUUCCAUGAAGUCCUUCCAUGCCUACUCCAAACCCACGAGGACCUCUAUGACCUCAAGAUUCCUCUCUACCAUCGUUUCCUCUUAGUUUUAUUUUUCAAGUAGACAAAAAAGUCCCUAAUGGUUGAGGCUCUGUUUUAACAGUUUUCUAGCCAUCUCCCCUUCCCAGAGUACAUCCUGAAGCUCUCAGUUUUCUCCUUUAAUAUGCAGAGAAGCUCCCUACCUCCUUUCACAUAUUAGGGCUACACUUACGCCUCAUCAAAAUAUUUUUGUAUCAAAAAUGGGAAAUCGUUAAGUCAGUUUAGGCUAAGUUGUUUGGCUGUGACAGACAAUCCCCAAACCUCUACAGCUUAAAAUAACAAAGGUUUAUUUCUUCUUAAUGCUACAUGGCCCGUGUGGAUCAUUUGGGGAUAAGGUUGCCAGAAUUAGCAAGGAAAAAUACAGGACACCCUCAAAUAAUUAGUAAUUUUUUUUUGGAGUAAGUAUGUCCCCCAAAACGCACACUAACAAUUAUUAUCAUUUUCUGAACUUCAAAUUUAACUGGAAAUCCUAUAAUUUAUCUGGCAAUGCUACUUGGGGGCUCUGCUGCUUGUCCCCAUUCUGGACCCAGGCUAACAGUGCCUCUGCUAUUUAACAUCACAGAAAGAAAGGGGAUGUGGCCAUUUGCACACUGGCUCUUGAAGUUUUCUUCUGGAAUAUAUAGCAUUUCCAAUCAUACCUUUUUUUUGUUUUGUUUUGUUUUGUUUUGGUCAAAGUGGGUCAUUUGGUCAUUCCUAACCUCAAAGGGGUUCUGCCAUGUGCUCAGAAUGGGAGAACACCGGGCUAUUUGUGAAAAGCCCAAAUCUCUGCCCCAGUUAUAUAUUCUGGUAACAGCUGCUAAGAAAAUACUACUUUCUCCAUCUUAUUACAAUAAAUUAUAUCAAGUGUAAUCUUUAUUCUUGUGAUUUCUAGCUAAUGGCUUACUAUUGAUUUCUAGUAGCAGAGAAAGCUUUCCUUACCCAUUUAAAUACAUGGAGACAACUAAACGCUCCCUUUCAACUUUUUUUCUCUGCAUUAAAGACCUCCCCAUGCCUCCCGUAUUUUCUUUGGUGUAGUUUCCAACCCUUUACCAUCUGGUCACUGUCUACUUGGUUAUAUCUGACUGCGAAGUGAAUGCGAUGGGAGAAAAACAAAACAAAACAAGAAAAGGUGGUUUCUUGUAGGGAUAAGCCAAAGAUGACGUUUUGUGUAACCCUUUGUUUUUGUUCCCUGUAUGGCCUACAGAAGAUCAGCAGUUUUUCAACCCUCAGCAACAACAGAAUCACCCAGAGAAACAAAUAGCGUUGUGAUUUGCCUUUUGUGCAGCCCUUUUGUUCUGAGAUGACUAGAUGACAUAUUGGGAUGUUGAUGAUUUUGAAUAUGUGUAUGGCUGAGAAGAUCACACCAAUUAAUUUUCAUCCAGAAUUCAAGAAUAGCUGCACCACGGUACAUGGUACACAGUGCACAUUGGUGUGACCAGUGAAGUUUCAAGUGUACAAAGCCAUGAGCAAGUUCAGCACGCUGCCCCAAACACGAAUAUCCCUGUACAAUACACUCCCCUGGGAAUUUGCAUGUUCAAUUUUAUAAUCAAUCAGAAAGCACUUAUUUAUACUGACUGAUGGGAAAGAAGGCUA
Callorhinus ursinus (northern fur seal) is the source of this 7902-nucleotide non-coding RNA. Lineage: Eukaryota; Metazoa; Chordata; Mammalia; Carnivora; Otariidae. The record is from RefSeq and is a predicted model, not a curated record.